Molecule: non-coding RNA, 2174 nt
Organism: Monodelphis domestica (gray short-tailed opossum)
Lineage: Eukaryota; Metazoa; Chordata; Mammalia; Didelphimorphia; Didelphidae
Source: RefSeq, a predicted model, not a curated record
UUCACUUUAUAAGAUGUCAAAGCCUUGGUCAGCAAUAGUAACCAAUGAAAGAUUGCUGUUGUCCCUUGCUAAUCCUAGUAAAAUAUUUGUGUACUGUUGUACUCAUUGAAUUAUUUAUUUUUCUUAGAGACCACAAUAAAAAAAGAGAAAGAAGAAGAUGAAAUAGUAGUGGAGGAAGAGAUUAUUAGCACUGGAAAACCUACAGAGGGAAAGGCUAAAAAGGGAUUUUCCUGGUUCCGCAAUAUCAAAGAACGCAAGCUGUGGAACUUCUUUCAUUUUAAAAAACAUGACAAACAAGUAAAGAAUGUGCACAAGUGGGAAGAAAUUGAUCAAGAGGUAUUGGAUGAUUACUGUCCUUAUUCUACUGAAGCCCCUAAAACAUUGCCAACACAGUGGACAAAUAUUGAAGUUGGUAAUUGGUUAUGGAGCAUUGGAAUGGAGGAGUAUGUUGUAAAAUUUUAUUGUAAAGGAAUAAAUGGUGGAAAACUCCUUAUACUGGACAAUCGCUCGCUAAAAGUAAGUAUGCUAAUCUAGGUGAUAUAGAUGAAUGUUUACAAAAAUAUAAAUUGCCUAGAUUAACAUAUGAAGAAAUAGAAUUCUUAAAUAAUCCCAUAUCAGAAAAAGAAAUUGAACAAGCCAUCAAAGAUCUCCUUAAGAAAAACAUCCCCAGGGCCUGAUGAAUUAACAAGGGAAUUCUAUCAAACAUCAAAGAAAAGCUCAAAGUUCAUUUGGAGAAGAACAAAGGAUCAAGGAUAUCCAGGGAAAUAAUGAAAAAAAAAACACAAAGGAAGGUGGCCUUUGUAGUACCAGAUCUCAAACGAUGGUAGCCUUUGUAGUACCAGAUCUCAAACUAUACUAUAAAGCAGUGGUCAUCAAAACAAUUUGGUAAUGGCUAAGAGGCAGAACGGAGGAUCAGUGGAAUAGACUAGGGAUAAGUGACCUCAGCAAGACAGUCUAUGACAAGCCGAAACAUCAUAGCUUUUGGGACAAAAUGUAAAAUAAAUAAUUUUGAUUCUAUCAAAUUAAAAAAGUAUUGUACAAACAAAACCAAUGCAACCAAAAUUAGAAGGGAAGUAACAAAUUGGGAAACAAUCUUCAUAACAAAAUCUCUGACAAAGGUCUAAUUACUCAAAUUGACAAAGAAGUAAAUCAAUUGUCCAAAAAAAUCAAGCCAUUCUACAAUUAAUAAAUGAGCAAGGGACAUGAAUAGGCAAUUUUCAGUCAAAGGAAUCAAAACUAUUAAUAAGCACAUGAAACAGUGUUCUAAAUCUCUAAUAAUCAGAGAAAUGCAAAUCAAAACAACUCACCUCAUACCUAGAAGAUUGGCUAACAUGACAGCAAAAGAAAGUAAUGAAUGAUGGGGAGAGGGGGUGUGGAAAAGUUGGGAUAUUUGCAUUGCUGGUAGACUUGUGAAUUGAUCCAACCAUUCUGGAGGGCCAUUUGGAACUAUGCCCAAAAGGGGCUAAAAGACUGUCUGCCCAUCGAUCCAGACAUAACACUGCUGGGUUUGUACCUCAAAGAGAUAAUAAGGAAAAAGACAUGUACACGAAUAUUCGUAGCUGCACUCUUUUUGGUGGCAAAAAAUUGGAAAAUGAGGGGAUGCCCUUCAGUUGGGGAAUGGCUGAACAAAUUAUGGUAUAUGUUGGUGAUGGAAUUACUAUUGUGCUCAAAGGAAUAAUAAAAUAGAGGAAUUCCAUGGGAACUGGAACAGCCUCCAAGAAGUAAUGCAGAGUGAAAGGAGCAGAACCAGGAGAACAUUGUACACAGAGACUGAUACACUGUGGUACAAUCGAAUGUAAUGGAUUUUUCCAUUAGUGGCAAUUCAGUGAUCCUGAAGAACCCAGAGGGAUCUAUGAGAAAGAACACUAUUCACAUUCAGAAGAAAAACUGUAGGAGUAGAAACACCAAAGAAAAACAACUGCUUGAUUACAUGGGUCUAGGGGGAUAUGUUUGGGGAUGUAGACCAUAAAGGAACAUCCUAGUGCAAACAUCAACAGCAUGGAAACAGGUUAUGAUCAAGGACACAUGUAAUACCCAGUGGAAUUGCGCAUCAGCAAUGGGAAGGGUGGGAAGGGGGAGGGGAGGGAGGAAUAGUAUAUGAUUUUUGUAACCAAGGAUUAAUGUUUGAAAUUGACCAAAUUAAAAAACAAAUAAAAUGAAAUGAAAUGAAAAAA